UACAGAGGGUGCAAGCGUUGUUCGGAAUUAUUGGGCGUAAAGCGCGUGUCGGCGGCUUUGCAAGUCGGGUGUGAAAGCCCUCAGCUUAACUGAGGAAGUGCGCCCGAAACUGCAGAGCUUGAGUACCGGAGAGGAUGGCGGAAUUCCCCAAGUAGAGGUGAAAUUCGUAGAUAUGGGGAGGAACACCGGUGGCGAAGGCGGCCAUCUGGACGGAUACUGACGCUGAGGAGCGAAAGCUAGGGGAGCAAACAGG
Molecule: ribosomal RNA, 253 nt
Filed under: uncultured bacterium
Lineage: Bacteria
Description: partial 16S ribosomal RNA
Rfam family: Bacterial small subunit ribosomal RNA
Source: RNAcentral